AAGGAUCAUUACAGAGAACAAUCGCCCUCACGGGUGACUCUCCAACCCUUUGCUAUCUUACCUUUGUUGCUUUGGCGAGACGCCUCGGCCACCGGCUCCGGCUGGUGAGUGCUCGCCAGAGGACCCUAAACUCUGGAAUUUAUUAUCGUCUGAGUACUAUAUAAUAGUUAAAACUUUCAACAACGGAUCUCUUGGUUCUG
Molecule: unclassified non-coding RNA, 200 nt
Filed under: uncultured fungus
Lineage: Eukaryota; Fungi
Description: partial contains 18S rRNA, ITS1, 5.8S rRNA, ITS2 and 28S rRNA
Source: RNAcentral